CAGGAAGCAGCUUGCUGCUUCGCUGACGAGUGGCGGACGGGUGAGUAAUGUCUGGGAAACUGCCUGAUGGAGGGGGAUAACUACUGGAAACGGUGGCUAAUACCGCAUAACGUCGCAAGACCAAAGAGGGGGACCUUCGGGCCUCUUGCCAUCAGAUGUGCCCAGAUGGGAUUAGCUUGUUGGUGAGGUAACGGCUCACCAAGGCGACGAUCCCUAGCUGGUCUGAGAGGAUGACCAGCCACACUGGAACUGAGACACGGUCCAGACUCCUACGGGAGGCAGCAGUGGGGAAUAUUGCACAAUGGGCGCAAGCCUGAUGCAGCCAUGCCGCGUGUAUGAAGAAGGCCUUCGGGUUGUAAAGUACUUUCAGCGGGGAGGAAGGUGUUGUGGUUAAUAACCGCAGCAAUUGACGUUACCC
RNAcentral lists this ribosomal RNA (418 nucleotides) under Salmonella enterica. RNAcentral describes it as "bacterial SSU rRNA". It matches the Rfam family "Bacterial small subunit ribosomal RNA", at positions 69 to 480 of the family's 1533-position model. The record is from RNAcentral. Lineage: Bacteria; Pseudomonadati; Pseudomonadota; Gammaproteobacteria; Enterobacterales; Enterobacteriaceae.